Molecule: ribosomal RNA, 253 nt
Filed under: uncultured bacterium
Lineage: Bacteria
Description: partial 16S ribosomal RNA
Rfam family: Bacterial small subunit ribosomal RNA
Source: RNAcentral
UACGUAGGGUGCGAGCGUUGUCCGGAAUUAUUGGGCGUAAAGAGCUCGUAGGCGGUUUGUCACGUCUGCUGUGAAAUCCCGAGGCUCAACCUCGGGCCUGCAGUGGGUACGGUCAGACUGGAGUGCGGUAGGGGAGAAUGGAAUUCCUGGUGUAGCGGUGGAAUGCGCAGAUAUCAGGAGGAACACCGAUGGCGAAGGCAGUUCUCUGGGACGGUACUGACGCUGAGACGCGAAAGCGUGGGGAGCGAACAGG